GAGCAUCAGAUAAAAUAAAGUUCUUAGGGCGCAAAAUAACGAGCAGAGGAGGUGGGCUAUGGGGAUCUGCUCACCAGAGGGCCCAUAGGCUGGUUAGCAUGUGUGGGAUAGGUGGCACUUGCGGCUGGGGCGACUUUGGCAAGGCUGGGCCGGUGAGUGGUCUAGCGGGGCAGGCUGAGCGCGAGUUCAGGUCAAUGCGUCAAUGCACGUGAGAGGGGGCUUGGUGCAGGUCGUUAUCCUCGUGUUCUUGCACACAGAAGAAGUAGGGGAGCUCCGUGUCGCCGAGAACAGGCACGACGUAAGGGGUUUGAUCCAAAGCAGUGAAGGUCGGGGACAGGGUGCUGGCUGCAGAUCAGGCGGCUAGAUCAAGGGCGGCGGCUCGGCCAGGGGCUCCUCAUGGCGGUGAUCCGCAGUUCCAUGGCAUCGAGCAAGCUCCAUGGCUCUUCUAUGUGAGAAGAGAGAGAGAGGGAAGUGAGAGCGGGAGGAUGAGGUUGCACGGGAACAGGGAUGGCUUCUCGAGGAGAUUGAGCAUCUCGGGGCCGAAGCUAGUUCAUGGGCAUGAGGGUGCUACCUCCUCGAGCGAGCCCUUGGAGUGGUUGCCAUCAUGCGCAAGGAGAAUGAGAAUGCGGGUGGACGCGUCCAGAGGCUAGGGAGAGCUGUGGGAGGAGG
Molecule: long non-coding RNA, 669 nt
Filed under: Hordeum vulgare
Lineage: Eukaryota; Viridiplantae; Streptophyta; Magnoliopsida; Poales; Poaceae
Description: long non-coding RNA (HVUL_LNC018779)
Source: RNAcentral